AAGCCAAAUAAGCUUGCUUGAGUUCUCUUAUCUUAGCUAGGGGUUCCAUAAAAAAAUUUGGGAAAGAUGAUGAAAAAGAUGAUAUUUUAUUAUUUAAUUAACUUAUCAUCUUUUAUUAUUUCAACUUUCUAAUUUAGUCCUUUUUUAUCAAAUUUUCCAUAGGUGAAUCAUCAUACUUAUCUACUAUCUCCUCUUAAUAGUCUAUUUGUCAUAUAAGGACCUCCAAUUUUGAAUUCCAUAGCUAUUUGAUCCUUUUAGCUACUAGAAUUCAAUUUUUGCAUUUUAUGCAAUUUGGUCCUUUUAUCAAUUAAUCAUGUAAUCAAUAAAAUUUUCUUAACAAAAUUUUUAUACGAUAUUCCUAUCAUAAUGCAGACCAUAAAACAAUAUUAAAGUAAAUUUUCUUUCAGACUUGAAUUUGUGGUCCCGAAACCACUGUUCUGAUUUCAUUGAAAACGAGUUAUUACAUAUGGAAACUACCAAGCUGGAGUACAAUAGAGACAAAGGGAAUUUACGGUGAAGCGAUGAAAUGUGUAGGGAUCGAUAAUAACACCAAUGACGAAAGCAUUUUGCUGGGCCGACAUUGACACUGAAAGAAAAAAGUUCGGGAGUGAAUGGGAUUAGAUACCCCUGUAGUCUUAGCUGUAAAUGAUGGAUACUAAGCGCUAUGCGUAUUGACUCGUGAAAUGCUGUAGCUAACGCGUUAAGUAUCCUAACUGGGGAGUACGUUCGCAAGAAUGAAACUCAAAGGAAUUGACAGGGGCCUGCACAAGCGGUGGAGCAUGUAGUUUAAUUCGAUUCAAAUCGAAGAACCUUACCAGGGCUUGACAUGCCACGAAUCCUCUUGAAAGAGAGGGGUGCCUUAAGGAAUACAGACACAGGUGGUGCAUUGUUGUCGCCAGCUUGUGCCGUAAAGUGUUGGGUUAAGUCCCACAAUCCUCGUGUUUAGUUUCCACAGUAAGUUUGAAACCUUGAGCAAACUGUCAGUGAUAAGUCGAAGGAAGAUGAGGAUGACGUCAAGUUAGCAUGCCCCUUAUGCCUUAGGUGACACACGUGCUACAAUGGAUGGGACAAAGGGUCGCAAUCCUGCAAGGAUGAGCUAACUCCAAAAACCCGUUCGCAAUUUGGAUUGCAGGCUACAACUCACCUGCAUGAAGCCGGAAUCGCUAGUAAUCGUCUGUCAGCCAUACGACAGUGAAUUCGUUCCUGGGGCUUGUACACACCGCCUGUCACACUACGGGAACUAGUCAUGCCCAAAGUUGCUACCUUAACCACAAGGAGAAGGAUGCCGAAGGUAAGGCUAAUGACUGGAGUGAAAUCGUAACAAAGUACCCUUAUUAUAUUAUAAAAAAA
RNAcentral lists this ribosomal RNA (1350 nucleotides) under Gossypium raimondii (Peruvian cotton). Its description in RNAcentral is "bacterial SSU rRNA". The stretch from base 387 to 1345 matches the Rfam family "Bacterial small subunit ribosomal RNA". Lineage: Eukaryota; Viridiplantae; Streptophyta; Magnoliopsida; Malvales; Malvaceae. The record is from RNAcentral.